Pelobates cultripes (western spadefoot toad) is the source of this 263-nucleotide non-coding RNA. The record is from the annotation of a GenBank genome assembly. Lineage: Eukaryota; Metazoa; Chordata; Amphibia; Anura; Pelobatidae.
GUAACAAUGAUGACUGUGUUGAGAUUUGUAGCAUUAGUUGACACAGAAAGAGACCCAGUGCCUUUUAAAAAUGUUGAGUCUAUGCCCAUCUAAUCUGGCAAAUCAAAAUCAUUCAUAUUAUAAAUAGUGCAGAGAGACUAAUUUAAAUUAUUUUGGAGCAAUUGUUAUUAUGUUAGUAAUAUUAUUUUUAUCAUGCCAGACUGGGAAAAAAAUUCAGCUCGGGUAUUUUUUAAUCACAGCAGUCCAGUGGCAACGAGGCUGGG